UGGCUCAGUUGGUAGUGCAAGGUGUUUGCAACGCCAGGGUUGUGGGUUCGAUUCCCAC
RNAcentral lists this transfer RNA (58 nucleotides) under Salmo salar (Atlantic salmon). It matches the Rfam family "tRNA", at positions 8 to 63 of the family's 71-position model. Rfam says of the family: Transfer RNA (tRNA) molecules are approximately 80 nucleotides in length. RNAcentral also lists the same sequence under 1 other name. Lineage: Eukaryota; Metazoa; Chordata; Actinopteri; Salmoniformes; Salmonidae. The record is from Rfam by way of RNAcentral.